This 212-nucleotide long non-coding RNA is filed under the name Elaeis guineensis (African oil palm). RNAcentral describes it as "long non-coding RNA (EGUI_LNC053165)". The record is from RNAcentral. Lineage: Eukaryota; Viridiplantae; Streptophyta; Magnoliopsida; Arecales; Arecaceae.
UGAGAUUGUUUGAGGUGGAUUUUGGGCUGUUUGAUCUUGAUCAGAUGGUGGGCAUGGGUUGAGAUGUUUGAAUAUGAUUGAAAGUCCAAAACCACUCGAUUUUAACCCAGAUUUUUGCUCUAUGAAAAGAGGGACUGUGGCAACAGAGAGGGAAUAGUGGGCAGUCGGUAGCAAAUUUUAUUUUUCUUUAUUUUAGGCUUUGUUUUAGGAUU